RNAcentral lists this long non-coding RNA (229 nucleotides) under Brassica napus (rape). RNAcentral describes it as "long non-coding RNA (BNAP_LNC015147)". The record is from RNAcentral. Lineage: Eukaryota; Viridiplantae; Streptophyta; Magnoliopsida; Brassicales; Brassicaceae.
AUGUGAGUUGGGCUUGACAUUUGGGAAAAAUUGUGUAAUUGUAUGUUUGGGAAAAGGGUAGAACAAUGGAGAUUGAGCAUUGUAUGCAUGAGUUGGUCCCUUUCUUAGAUAUAUUAUGUGCAAUGUGAAGGCUACUUGUUUCGAGAGUAAACCACCGUAAAGAUUUUAUGUUUCGAACCUUUUGAAUCACUUGAAUAAAAGCCUUCCCUUACCCAAAUGACUUGGACCG